GGCGCGGCACGGCCCCUGAGUGGCCGAAAUGGUGCGGAGGCGGGGCUAGGGUGGCCUCCCCAGUCGGUCGGCCGGGGAAGCCUGGUGCUGGGACUGCCCUGUAGACCUCCAACAGCAGGAGCUUCUGGGGGCUUCCCCAAGAGCUUUCCGCCAUUGGCCAGACUUUGAAAGCGCUGUAGGAACGAUAAGGAAGCCGAGGCUUAGAAAAAUAACCUGACAAAUAUAAGCUUCCAUAUAGGAUCAAGCACAGCUAUCAGCACAAAGAGAAAAACCAACCACAGAAAAAAGGAAACAACUACUUUUGACUACUGCUUGUCAGCUGAGUCCCACCAGCCCUUUUGAGUGGCUUCAUGGUACAAAUUCUCAUGAUUCAGGGUGCCUGGGUGGCUCAGCAGUAUUCAAUAUAUACUUCGAGCCUUCCUCUCCUCUCUUCACAAAAGGCAAUCGAGGAAGAACUAUACACGGUUUACCUGCAGGAAAGAGCAUAAAGGUAAUAAAAGGGCUGAGUGAGUUAUAAAGUAAGAGAGUGAGGGCAGAUUCUAUAGAGCCCUUGUGUGCCAGCAGCAAAGCUGAGUGAAGGAACAUCUGGAAAGCCCUUUCCCCCAGCCAUAUCCCAUAUCAAUCACCCCAUCAGCAUCACCCCUGGAGUCCAACUCUGUUCUUAGGAAGCUUAGGAAGUUUGGAACA
Molecule: long non-coding RNA, 687 nt
Organism: Mustela erminea (ermine)
Lineage: Eukaryota; Metazoa; Chordata; Mammalia; Carnivora; Mustelidae
Exons: 4
Source: RefSeq, a predicted model, not a curated record